RNAcentral lists this ribosomal RNA (244 nucleotides) under uncultured Staphylococcus sp. Its description in RNAcentral is "partial 16S ribosomal RNA". It matches the Rfam family "Bacterial small subunit ribosomal RNA", at positions 96 to 334 of the family's 1533-position model. Lineage: Bacteria; Bacillati; Bacillota; Bacilli; Caryophanales; Staphylococcaceae. The record is from RNAcentral.
CGGCGGACGGGUGAGUAACACGUGGAUAACCUACCUAUAAGACUGGGAUAACUACGGGAAACCGGAGCUAAUACCGGAUAAUAUAUUGAACCGCAUGGUUCAAUAGUGAAAGACGGUUUUGCUGUCACUUAUAGAUGGAUCCGCGCCGCAUUAGCUAGUUGGUAAGGUAACGGAUUACCAAGGCAACGAUGCGUAGCCGACCUGAGAGGGUGAUCGGCCACACUGGAACUGAGACACGGUCCAG